UUCAAGUCUUUAUUUAGCAAAUUCAUAAUGGAGGUAGAGGAGAUAAAUUGCCCAAUCCGUAAUGCUUUUUGGGAUUAGGCCUAUAAGUAACAUUUGAUAAACAUAAAACAUAGGAAGGUUAAGGCUUUUUACUUGCAUUUAUUGAUAGAAUUUUUUUUCUACUGCUUGUGAUCACUGAAAGCGUUGAUCUUGGCCUGGAUGUGGUGCGCCUUGUUCUCCAGCGUUUCAAUGUUGGCAUUGCAGUCCCAUAUCUUCUUAGCAGGGCCCAGAGCCAAGCCACACAAGGCGCUUGCCAAGACGCUUGUCAAGGAGCCCACAACCUCCAUGGCUGUAGACCUACAAGUAAAGGUUGUCUCCCUCCCAGAAAGAAGCACAAUAUUAACUCUUGACCUUGUAGAUCGGAAUUCUUCACUUUUUUCACAGCUGUGACUCACUCACUCUAAGAGAUUCACAGUGAGCACCGCAACGAUCGCUACAUCGCUCGCAAGAAACACCUCUAUUUGUACAAACAGACAAACGUGGAGCACGUAAAGUACUUGUGUCUUUGGCCUAAAAACGGGCAUCUUAAACGCCAUAGCCAGAAAAUGGACGGCGGAGAUCUUUUGAGCAAGAACCCUAAGCCCCAAUUUCUCUUGGCGAGGCGGCGAGAGAGCGAUGGCGCAGAGAGAUGCGACACGCCCGAGAAGAACAUCGUCUUUUCUCUUGUACGGCGUUGAUCCAGGCGAACGGGAAUAGAGGGCUCCUCUGCCGAUCUUUGAUGGGAUCCGGGCGAUCUUGUCACCGACGUCUUGAAAGAUCUUAGAUUCUAUCCGCAAUCGCCCAGUCAAUGCGAUCCUGGCGAUGGGUGCUCCAUAUCAUUCUAUUCCCGCCCGGACGUGAUCUCCAGGAUUUGCGAAGAAGAAGGUCGUCGAUCAGAUGCGCGAUGCUGGCGCGCAAUUGAUUGGGGCUUCCCGCUACAUUUUCCCGCGCUAUCGUCUCUACUUCUCCAUUCUAGGGUUCUUUCUUGGAGGCGACGUAGGUUUUCUAUUGCCCGCGUGGUCGAGGAGACGGCGCUGGGGGGCGGCCUUGAUCGGCGUUCUGGAGCUACACAGGUAAUGGGGCUCGAAAUAGGAAGAGGCUCCAGCUUAAGGCUCCGACGAGCAGUGCCAAGGCGAGGAGCCCCAGCCAGCGUUACGGUGACAACAAAGGCCCCUGGGGCAAAAUGUUCCAUCGGCAGUGGAUCGCCAAAAACUCCUGCAAAAGCUGAGGCUUCUAGGACAGCAAAAAUUGCCGAGGUGAGCAAUGAUAGUGGAGCAGAGGAUUUAGACGAUUCGGGAGUAGAAAGUGGAGCAAUCGAUGGUGGGGAAGAAGAGGUAAACAAGAUCAUGACUGGAGGAGGAAACGAUGCCGAGGUGGAAAGAACAACAGUGGUGGAGAGCUCCAUUGAGACUGUCAGGAAACAUGGCGAGGCUGUUUCUAGCGCCUUAGCUGGACUUUCAAUCAGAGGUAGUGCCUUGACCCACGGUAAUCCCGUUAAGAUGAAAGCUGGUUGUGGUUCCGUGAAAGCUGAAGCUUCGGUUUCGAUCGCAGCUGGAUGUGAUCCUAUGAAAGUAGAUGGAUUGGUGAAAAUGGAAGCUGGUUUUGAGUCUGCAAGAGUCGAAGCUCUGGUUGGCUCGGUGAAGAUGGACCCUCGUUAUGAUACUGUGAAACUUGAAACUCCAUUCGGGGGUUGUUUUAGAUGUUGAGAGGUGGUGGCUUCUCCAAGAGACUGAAGUUGCCGGGUACUCGACGUCCAGGGGAUGCCGGAUUCGUGUUGGCGAGUUCAUUUCCUUCAGUUUUCCCAAGCCUGAAGCCGAAAGUAAGAAGAAUUUCUUUGAGCACAAGAAGGUUCGGCCGAAAGUGAGCUCCGAUAUUGUAAGGUUCUUGACAAAAGCUUCAGGAGAGAUAGGACGGCUUCCAGCCGACUGCGCCAAGUGUUUGAUACCUUUGGGAAGUGCAAAAUGGCACCAGAGGCUCUUUCUCUUAUGAGCAGCAUAGUUCUCCAUUUGAGAGUUUAUAUCAACAAGUCAGAAGCCUUACGAGGAGGGGGUUGAGCGCGGAUUGAAGCUUCUGCAAGCUAUCUUGAAGCCGGUAAUGCUUCGAAGAACAAAAGAUUCAACUGAUAAAGAAGGAAGACCAAUUCUUGUUCUCCAACCGGCUCAAUGUGAAGUUAUUGAAUGCAAACUAUCUGAGCCUGAACGUGAUUUUUAUGAUGCCCUUUACCACAGAUCUAA
RNA transcript from Selaginella moellendorffii, 2252 nucleotides. RefSeq lists it as uncharacterized. NCBI's taxonomy places the organism in Eukaryota, Viridiplantae, Streptophyta, Lycopodiopsida, Selaginellales, Selaginellaceae. The record is from RefSeq and is a predicted model, not a curated record. The transcript has 4 exons.